GACGAACGCUGGCGGCGUGCCUAACACAUGCAAGUCGAACGGAGAUACCCGCUGAUGAAGUACUUCGGUAAUAAUUCUUGGAUAUCUUAGUGGCGGACGGGUGAGUAACGCGUGAGCAACCUGCCUUUCAGAGGGGGAUAACGUUUGGAAACGAACGCUAAUACCGCAUGAUAUUAUUGAGCUGCAUGGCUUGAUAAUCAAAGGAGCAAUCCGCUGAAAGAUGGGCUCGCGUCCGAUUAGGUAGUUGGCGGGGCAACGGCCCACCAAGCCGACGAUCGGUAGCCGGACUGAGAGGUUGAACGGCCACAUUGGGACUGAGACACGGCCCAG
RNAcentral lists this ribosomal RNA (330 nucleotides) under uncultured bacterium. Its description in RNAcentral is "bacterial SSU rRNA". It matches the Rfam family "Bacterial small subunit ribosomal RNA", at positions 28 to 334 of the family's 1533-position model. The record is from RNAcentral.